UACGUAGGGGGCAAGCGUUGUCCGGAUUUAUUGGGCGUAAAGAGCGUGUAGGCGGCCACACAGGUCUGCUGUGAAAACUCGAGGCUCAACCUCGAGCUGUCGGUGGAAACCGUGUGGCUAGAGUCCGGAAGAGGAGAGUGGAAUUCCCGGUGUAGCGGUGAAAUUCGUAGAUAUCGGGAGGAACACCAGUGGCGAAGGCGGAGACCUGGGGAGAUAUUGACGCUGAGGUGCGAAAGCGUGGGGAGCAAACAGG
RNAcentral lists this ribosomal RNA (253 nucleotides) under uncultured bacterium. RNAcentral describes it as "partial 16S ribosomal RNA". It matches the Rfam family "Bacterial small subunit ribosomal RNA", at positions 524 to 776 of the family's 1533-position model. The record is from RNAcentral.